RNAcentral lists this non-coding RNA (167 nucleotides) under Scelioninae gen. 1 sp. ZL-2020. Lineage: Eukaryota; Metazoa; Arthropoda; Insecta; Hymenoptera; Scelionidae. The record is from RNAcentral.
ACUGUUCGCACUUGUAACUGCUGUGUUAUUUGUGUUGCGGUUAAACUUUGUUUAUAAUAACACAAAUUACUUACAAAACUAACAAAAUCGACAAAAUAAAAGAUGUUGCUUGUCCAUAGGUUCAUCUAUAUCAAAAAUGUAAUGGACUGCUCACAGUUUAUAUUUUU